CCUUCGGUAGCUCAGUUGGUAGAGCGGUGGACUGUAGUGUUUAAUUUGAUCAUAGAUAUCCAUAGGUCGCUGGUUCAAAUCCGGCCCGAAGGA
Molecule: transfer RNA, 93 nt
Filed under: Acyrthosiphon pisum (pea aphid)
Lineage: Eukaryota; Metazoa; Arthropoda; Insecta; Hemiptera; Aphididae
Rfam family: tRNA
About the family: Transfer RNA (tRNA) molecules are approximately 80 nucleotides in length. Their secondary structure includes four short double-helical elements and three loops (D, anti-codon, and T loops). Further hydrogen bonds mediate the characteristic L-shaped molecular structure. tRNAs have two regions of fundamental functional importance: the anti-codon, which is responsible for specific mRNA codon recognition, and the 3' end, to which the tRNAs corresponding amino acid is attached (by aminoacyl-tRNA synthetases). tRNAs cope with the degeneracy of the genetic code in two manners: having more than one tRNA (with a specific anti-codon) for a particular amino acid; and 'wobble' base-pairing, i.e. permitting non-standard base-pairing at the 3rd anti-codon position.
Source: Rfam by way of RNAcentral